CAAGGAGAUAUUAUCAUUGUGUUAGAUCAGAAGGACCAUGCUGUUUUUACUCGACGAGGAGAAGAUCUUUUCAUGUGUAUGGAUAUACAGCUGGUUGAAGCACUGUGUGGCUUCCAAAAGCCAAUAUCCACUCUUGAUAACCGAACGAUAGUCAUCACCUCUCAUCCAGGUCAGAUUGUCAAGCAUGGAGACAUCAAGUGUGUGCUAAAGGAAGGCAUGCCAAUUUAUCGUAGACCAUAUGAAAAGGGUCAUCUAAUCAUUGAAUUUAAGGUAAACUUACCUGAAAAUGGCUUUCUCUCUCUUGAUAAACUCUCAUUGCUGGAAAAACUCUUACCUGAGAGGAAGGAAGUAGAAGAGACCGAUGAAAUGGAUCAGGUAGAACUGGUGGACUUUGAUCCAAAUCAGGAAAGACGACGCCAUUAUAAUGGAGAAGCCUAUGAGGAUGACGAACAUCAUCCCAGAGUUGGUGUUCAGUGUCAGACCUCUUAA
Octodon degus (degu) is the source of this 489-nucleotide RNA transcript. It is a transcript of the gene named dnaJ homolog subfamily A member 1 pseudogene, with no coding region annotated. The record is from RefSeq and is a predicted model, not a curated record. The transcript has a single exon. NCBI's taxonomy places the organism in Eukaryota, Metazoa, Chordata, Mammalia, Rodentia, Octodontidae.